Molecule: long non-coding RNA, 477 nt
Organism: Cotesia glomerata
Lineage: Eukaryota; Metazoa; Arthropoda; Insecta; Hymenoptera; Braconidae
Exons: 3
Source: RefSeq, a predicted model, not a curated record
CUUUUUUUUAAUAAAAAAAAAUUUUUUUAAUCUUAAAAUUGUCAGUUACUGUGUUUUGAAAUUGGGCAGCCGAGGAGUUGGACUUGUCUAGUAUGAUUGAGUUGGACUUUUAAUUAAAAUUAUCCCCAUAUUCAUUAAAAAAACAUGAUUAAAAAGAUCAGCGACACAUUCUCUGGUUUAUACAUAGAGAAUCAACACAAUUACGUGCAAAAAAUUGCAAAGUGGUCACUCGCUUGUAUAUUUUAUUAAAUUUUAAUAUAAAUUGGACAUUGCUGGAUUAUUUUCCGCGUCAUAUUAGUUUCAAAUCAAUUACUUAACAUUUGUCAGGUGCACAAAAUUUUUUGACACGUUCAGAUCUGCGCAUUCGAAAUCCGAAGGUAGUAAAUCCUUCAUCCCUGAAAAUAUCCUCAGAUAAUGAUAAGGAAAAGGAAUUUUGAGUCGCUAAAGCUAAAGCAGCUAAGAAGGUACAUAAGAAAU